GUCUGGUGCCAGCAGCCGCGGUAAUACGGAGGAUGCAAGCGUUAUCCGGAAUUAUUGGGCGUAAAGCGUCCGCAGGUGGUCUUUCAAGUCUGCUGUCAAAUACCAGAGCUCAACUCUGGGCAGGCGGUGGAAACUGGGAGACUAGAGUACGGUAGGGGUAGAGGGAAUUUCCAGUGUAGCGGUGAAAUGCGUAGAGAUUGGAAAGAACACCAGUGGCGAAGGCGCUCUACUGGACCGUAACUGACACUCAGGGACGAAAGCUAGGGGAGCGAAAGGGAUUAGAUACCCCUGUAGUCCUAGCUGUAAACGAUGGAUACUAGGCGUUGCUUGUAUCGACCCGAGCAGUGCCGAAGCCAACGCGUUAAGUAUCCCGCCUGGGGAGUACGCACGCAAGUGUGAAACUCAAAGGAAUUGACGGGGGCCCGCACAAGCGGUGGAGUAUGUGGUUUAAUUCGAUGCAACGCGAAGAACCUUACCAGGACUUGACAUGUCGCGAAUCUCUUUGAAAGAAGAGAGUGCCUUAGGGAGCGCGAACACAGGUGGUGCAUGGCCG
RNAcentral lists this ribosomal RNA (553 nucleotides) under uncultured bacterium. RNAcentral describes it as "bacterial SSU rRNA". It matches the Rfam family "Bacterial small subunit ribosomal RNA", at positions 501 to 1051 of the family's 1533-position model. The record is from RNAcentral.